AUGAAUCCAUUCUUGGUGAAUUCGGGUGGAGGAUGGUCGUUUUGAAGUCAAACCAAUUAGUGAAGUUCUUAAGGCCUCUUAAAUUCGCCUAAGUUUUGGUAGGUCUGUCUUCUGGGCGAUUUUCAUGAAAAUGUGUUGUGAAUUUGGAAACACUUCCUCAAUGAAAGUUGUAGAUAUUUGAAAUAGCUUUCCAACGGUAGGUCGCCCAGCCCAAACGGAGUUACGUACAAGAAGUUAUGUCCAUUUUACCGAACACUGUGCAGAACCGAUACCCGUCGCUUGUGCAGGCGCGUGGGGGCGCGUGCGAUGGCCCCGCAUCGCGGGCCGAUCGCGCAAGUCUGAGUAUUGAGCUGCAGAACAUUGCGCGAUGGUCCCGCAUCGCGGACCAAUCGCGAAUCGGCACCCCAUUCACGAAAAUUUACCCUAAAGUCAAUAAGAACAAGUCCCAAGCCUCAAGAACCAUACAAGGGUUUGCAACAUAAUUCUUUCCAAAGUAAUUCAAGCUAGGGUUUGGGUAUUCUUCAUUAGAAAAGUGAUUUGUUAAACCUUGUUUAACAAAUUAAGCUACUCGGGAGGAAGGGUAGCCACUAUGGAUCCUAGUGUG
Molecule: long non-coding RNA, 604 nt
Organism: Lycium ferocissimum
Lineage: Eukaryota; Viridiplantae; Streptophyta; Magnoliopsida; Solanales; Solanaceae
Exons: 4
Source: RefSeq, a predicted model, not a curated record